AGGUGAGUCCAGCUGAAGCUUGGGAAGGCAGAGGCUGCCAGCACUGCUCCAGAAUCUCUGUUUUGUGUCCCCUCUUAAAGGAUGUGACCACACAGUCUGUUAUGGGGUUUGACCCUCUGCCUCCCGUGGACACCAUCUACUCCUACGUCAGACCGGAGAGGUACUGUCCCUGCUUUGUCUUCAGACCCACACGAGCCCACUUUGGUACUUUGGGGCUCACUGGAACUGCCCGUCCAGACUAGAAGGAAAAUGGCAAACACAGGCUAAAGUUGGGCCAGUCCACUCAGGAGUAGGAGAAACAGUGUAUCAGACCUGACUUCCCCCAAAGGUCUGAGCACUCCCCUGUAGGUUUUGUAGCAAGUAGAGAAGGCAGAAUAAG
This 379-nucleotide long non-coding RNA is filed under the name Rattus norvegicus (Norway rat). RNAcentral's name for it is "long non-coding RNA NONRATT014383". Lineage: Eukaryota; Metazoa; Chordata; Mammalia; Rodentia; Muridae. The record is from RNAcentral.